Molecule: ribosomal RNA, 589 nt
Filed under: uncultured bacterium
Lineage: Bacteria
Description: partial 16S ribosomal RNA
Rfam family: Bacterial small subunit ribosomal RNA
Source: RNAcentral
UAGGGAAUCUUCCGCAAUGGACGAAAGUCUGACGGAGCAACGCCGCGUGAGUGAAGAAGGUUUUCGGAUCGUAAAACUCUGUCUUUUGGGGCGAACGUGAGUAUGGUGAACAAUCAUAGUCAGUGACGGUACCAAAGGAGGAAGCCACGGCUAACUACGUGCCAGCAGCCGCGGUAAUACGUAGGUGGCAAGCGUUGUCCGGAAUUAUUGGGCGUAAAGAGCGCGUAGGCGGGAUAGUCAGUCUGUUGUAAAAGUGCGGGGCUCAACCCCGUGAUGGCAAUGGAAACAGCUAUUCUUGAGUGCAGGAGAGGAAAGUGGAAUUCCCAGUGUAGCGGUGAAAUGCGUAGAUAUUGGGAGGAACACCAGUGGCGAAGGCGACUUUCUGGACUGUGUCUGACGCUGAGGCGCGAAAGCCAGGGGAGCGAACGGGAUUAGAUACCCCGGUAGUCCUGGCCGUAAACGAUGGGUACUAGGUGUGGGAGGUAUCGACCCCUUCCGUGCCGGAGUUAACGCAAUAAGUACCCCGCCUGGGGAGUACGGUCGCAAGACUGAAACUCAAAUGAAUUGACGGGGUCAUAGCUGUUUCCUG